GACGAACGCUGGCGGCGUGCUUAACACAUGCAAGUCGAACGGGCCCGCUCUCUUUUUUGGGGGUGGGUUGAGUGGCGAACGGGUGAGUAUCACGUGAGUAACCUGCCCCCUGCUCCUGGAUAACUGCUUGAAAGGGCGGCUAAUACGGGGUGUGCCGGCUGGUCCGCAUGGGCCUGGUCGGGAUAGUUUCAUCUUCGGGUGUUUCGGUGGGGGAUGGGCUCGCGGCCUAUCAGCUUGUUGGUGGGGUGAUGGCCCACCAAGGCGGUGACGGGUAGCCGACCUGAGAGGGUGGGCGGCCACACUGGGACUGAGACACGGCCCAGACUCCUGCGGGAGGCAGCAGUGGGGGGUAUUGCACAAUGGGCGGAAGCCUGAUGCAGCGACGUCGCGUGAGGGAUGGAGGCCUUCGGGUUGUGAACCUCUUUCUCCGGUGGUGAAGGCCCUGUCCGUUGCGGCGGGGUUGACGGUAGCCGGGUAUGAAGCGCCGGCUAACUACGUG
Molecule: ribosomal RNA, 499 nt
Filed under: uncultured bacterium
Lineage: Bacteria
Description: partial 16S ribosomal RNA
Rfam family: Bacterial small subunit ribosomal RNA
Source: RNAcentral